AGGAUGAACGCUAGCGGCAGGCCUAAUACAUGCAAGUCGAACGGUCGGUAGCAAUACUGAUAGUGGCGCACGGGUGCGUAACGCGUAGCCAACCUACCCACAUCUGGGGGAUAGCCCGCCGAAAAGGCGGAUUAAUACCGCAUAAGACAGCGGAGCGGCAUCGCUUGGUUGUUAAAGAUUUAUUGGAUGUGGAUGGGGCUGCGUGCCAUUAGCUAGUUGGGGGGGUAACGCCCACCAAGGCGACGAUGGCUA
Molecule: ribosomal RNA, 252 nt
Filed under: uncultured bacterium
Lineage: Bacteria
Description: partial small subunit ribosomal RNA
Rfam family: Bacterial small subunit ribosomal RNA
Source: RNAcentral